AUGAGGGCUGCACAUGCUGACGGGAUGAGUCUGCGGGCAGCAGGAGCAGAACACUCACGGGUAACCAUCACCUCAUUCCUGUCAUUCCCACUGCUUAUCAGGAACCAAAACAGCAUGAAAAGCAAGUGUCCUGGAGGAAGAAAAAGGCGCUUAGGACAACAAACAAGGCUGCUGCUUUCCAGGGAAGGAGGACAUGAGGAAACGCUACAGACUAAGAGAAGGAACAAGGCCAUGUGUGCAGACUCAUGCUUUCCAUGGGCCAAGGUUGUGCAUACAGCCACAGGAAAGAGAAGGCAGUAAAAGGCUGCAAGGAAGCAGCUGAGCGGGACUUUCUGCCUUUCUAAUUUCAGAGAGAAAUACCCAUCCACAGAAUCUCGUGGAGGAGACAGCCCCACGUAUCACCUGGAUACUAAACCUGACACCUUGGAAGCACUCAGCUCUCCAGUAGAACAACUGUGUUCGCACUUCCUACCAACUCAAGUACACCUCCACGUUCAAAUGAAAUAAGAUCCUCUCAGCAAUGUGGCUUCAAAUGCCCAGGGAAUUAGUCAUAAAGAUUCUAGUUCUUUGAUGUGCAUAAAGCCAUCAAAAUUUUGUUUUGCUUUGGUUGUUUUUGUUUUUUUUUUUCUUUUUUUCCUUUUAAAACCUGAUAUUACUAACAGUGCUGGGAAUCAAGUUGCUGGGAUUUUUGUUUGUUAUUUUAAGAUAGGAAAGCUGUCACAUAAACCCAGUCAAUUGCCAGGCCCGGAAAUAAUGCUUUGCAAGCAGUGAAAGGAAACUCAAAUAACUCCCUGCCCAACAUUGCUUUCUAGUUCAUCUGUCAUAAAAACAGCAGAGAGCAGCUCAAAGCCAAAAGACUUUUUUUCUUUGCUUUGUUUUAGCUCUAGCAGCACAGAAAGGUGAUAUCACUGCAUAUUGUAACCAAGCAAAUGAGUAAUGAAAGUGCAAGCAAAUACAUUAAAUAGCACAGGCUUAAAUAAAAGGUGUGAUAAUCGUUUGCUUUGUUUUGCU
This 1011-nucleotide long non-coding RNA is filed under the name Coturnix japonica (Japanese quail). Its description in RNAcentral is "lncRNA (ENSCJPG00005006044.1)". Lineage: Eukaryota; Metazoa; Chordata; Aves; Galliformes; Phasianidae. The record is from RNAcentral.